CAACUGUUGAAUCCGCUGAACGCAGCCGAUGUUUGUUUUCUUGCUGGAUUUCUAGCUGAAUUACAAUCUAGCCAUCGUAUUGGCUGCAGUACGAUCGUGUGCCGCUGGUUUUACUUCCAUCUGAUAAGUUCCAGGAUCCCUAUUCUUGAAAAGUAUCGCAUAUGAAAAACUAGAAAAAUACUAGUGUGUGUAACGCAUACUAUAGCAUUUCUCUAAUUUUUCGUAUCGAUACUUUUCAAGAAUAGAGCCUCUGGUCUCUAUUGGUCUCUAUUCUUCAUGGUCUGUAGUGUUAACCUGAAAAAAGUUGGAAUCUGAUCUUAAACCGGCAGUUUAAUAAAUUCUAUUAGAAAUAUUUGCAGCUUAUUUAUUGGAAAUUAAAGAUUUAUCGUUGUACAAUGAAGAGAGUUAUUAUUUUUGUUAACGGAACUGAUGUUAAUGGCAAAGUGUUGGUAGUGACUCACUCGUUAGAUGAAUUAUUAACGGCAGCUAGCGCAAAAUUUGAAAUAACUGCAAAGAGAAUUUUUACGUCGCAAGGUGGUGAAAUUGAUGAUAUUAAGCUCAUUAGAGAUGAUGACAUUUUAUAUGUUUCAAAUGGGGAAAAUUUUAUACAUAUAAGUAAAAUUUUGAACCAUAAUCAACUAAGUAAGAAUUCGGAAUGGAUUACAUUAAAUGUUGGAGGAAAAUAUUUUACCACAACUAGGAAUACUUUAACCAAAAAAGAACCUAUGAGUAUGUUAGCAAGAAUGUUUACAGAAACUGGAUAUAGUGAGCAUGCUAUACAACCAAGUAGACAGGAUCAUAGUGGAGCAUAUCUAAUUGAUAGAAGUCCUACUUAUUUUGAACCAUUGUUAAAUUACUUGAGACAUGAUCAAAUAAUACUUGAUUCUAAUGUUAAUGUAGCUGGAGUUUUGGCAGAAGCUUGUUUUUAUGGCAUUGAAGGCGCUAUUCGAAUCCUUACUACAAUGUUAGAAAAAGAAGAACUGCAAAAGGAGGGUCUUGUGUCUCUAACUCGCAAAGAUGUACUUAAAGCAAUUAUGUCUACACCAACUAACGCAGAACUUAGAUUCCAAGGAGUUGAUUUUGUAAGAGCUGAUCUUUCGAAAUUAGAUCUUAGAAAUAUUAACUUUAAGUACGCCAUUAUGCAUCACUGUAGUCUGGCAGGUGCUAAUCUAUCAGGAUGUUGCUUUGAGCGCGCUGAUUUAUCUCAUUCCAAUUUGCAAGGCGCACAACUUGUGUGCGUAAAAAUGUCAUGUGCAAAUCUAGCUGCAGCCAAUCUGCAUUCGUGUAAUUUUGAAGAUCCUGGUGGUCUGCCAGCAAAUAUGGAAGGUGUAAAUUUGAAAGGUGCAAAUCUUGAAGGCAGUAACAUGGCAGCCGUCAACCUCCGAGUAGCUACAUUAAAGAAUGCUAUUCUUAGGAAUUGCAUUUUGAGAUCAGCUGUUUUAGCCGGUGCCGAUUUAGAGUGCUGUGAUUUAUCUGGUUCUGAUCUACAAGAUGCAAAUUUACGCGGUGCAAAUUUAAAAGAUGCUGCUUUUGAGUUAAUGUUGACGCCACUGCACAUGUCUCAGACAAUACGAUAACAAUGAAUAUCAUGCUGCAUAUAUUACUGCAGCUUAAAUUCAAUAAUUUUUAUAUAAUUUAUAUUAACUUAUUUGUGAGUAUAUGUGGAUGUGCGUGAAUGCAGUAAUGUUGUAGGCCGGAGGGUCUCGAGAAUCAUAAAUACAUACUUAUACCAUAAAAAGAUGGUAUGUUCACUCGAGACACUAUCGUCUUCUGAUAUAUGGUUAUUUAUUAAUUAUCGAUAUAAAAGGAGAAUUUUUAGUAUAAUUUACGAGUUGGCUCUAUCGAUUAUACAUAAGAUUAUAUCAGAGUACAAGCAUAGCAUGGCAGACAAUGCAUUGGUCUAUUAUACCAGAGAUUCCGGGUUUGAUCCUGAUAGGAGCCAGUUAUGUCAGACACUCGAUGGCAAGGAAUUCCUCGCACCUCCCGUUGUCCGGUUUGGCACGCACACUUCGUGGACACGGUAUCACAUCGUUAUUUUAACCUAACCUAAUGGCUACAGCACUGUGCUGCAAACACGCAUGCGCGAGUGCGGGGCAUGUCUGGAAGCAUUGAUAGGAACCAAAUAUUUACGCCUGUAUCUCCCGUUGGAAAGGACCGGCAAUCUCCCGAGAGUACCCUUACUCACAGAAACACUUCUCGAAAAAUCCGUCAUUCGGAAUCAGUAUUAAAACUAUGCCUGUACGAAACUGAUAUUCAUGUUCACUAAGGAGGCCUGAUUUGAAGCUUUUGAUCGGUCGCGGCAUUUCAUCCCGAUCCCAAACUACUAGACUCAUCAGGGAAUUCACGUAGAUGCGGUGCUCACGCGAGUCUCGUUGGACCUCUAGUGGCGAGUCACCACAGGACUCCACCCCAAUGAGGGCGUGAUUCAACGGAUUGCGUCGGAAUGAUAAAUAUCAAGCAUGAGCGUAGUGUGAUCGAUGUAGCUUGGUGGCGUUCAUUAUCGUUCGUUGUCGUUCCUGUCGUUCGUUGUUGCUCCUGUGCUGCUCGAUGCUGCUUUAUGCUACUCUGUAUUGCUCUGUGCUGCCCGGUGCCACUAUUAAGCAUUGCGAGCGUGCGCGAGCGUGUGUGACCGUGUGUGUGGUCGUCUUUAUACCUAUAGAUACUUAUGGAUAUGGGUCCCUAUGGGACCGAAAUACGUGCGUGUUUUUAGAUCACGUCACGGGAUCACCAAUGUGAAUCCAGUUGUACGAAAAUGAUAUUCAUGUCCACUAAGGAGGCCUGACUCGAAGCUUUUGGUCAGCUGCGGCAUUUCGUCCCGGUCCCACACUACUAGACUCAUCAGGCGUUCGGAAACACUGAUGUGCCACUAAUAUACAGCCGUUCGGAAAUACUCGUGUGUACUCGGUGUGCACUAGUGUGAAAUCGGUCGGGACGUCGAGAGAGUCACACCGAGUGUCACUAAAUCGCCGUGCGAAAAACAAGGGGAGUCUGUGCGUUAUGGUCGCAGCACAAACUUGCAUAAUGCAUAAUGCAUAGUACAUAAGGGAAUCGACCAAUCGAAAUUAUAUAAGCAGUGUUAGUCUAAACAAAUAUAAGAUAUAUAUUUACAUUUGCUUUUUGAGAUUGUAGAGCCAGAAUUUUAAUCUAACUUCUAUAGAUAAAAUUUCAUCAUUCUUCGAUCUUUGCCAUCCAUGUACCAUCAUGAUUCAGAGCUAUUUUUGUAACUUCUAUAUUUACAAUAAUUACAUCGCAUUCUUGAGUCAGAAAAUUUUGAGC
This is an unclassified non-coding RNA of Acromyrmex echinatior (Panamanian leafcutter ant), 3276 nucleotides long. The record is from RefSeq and is a predicted model, not a curated record. NCBI's taxonomy places the organism in Eukaryota, Metazoa, Arthropoda, Insecta, Hymenoptera, Formicidae.